UGUGCAUUGCUUACUCCUUUCUCUUUGCACAGUAUUCUACCUAUGCCUGUAUUCCAGUAUUUUUCAAACUGUCAUAACUGUAUGCUUACAUUUCUAUCUCCUGUGAUAGGAUAAAAGCUUCUCAAGAUGAGGUUGUUUUCUCAAGCUCAGGUUCUCAAAGUUUCAUUUCCUCUGUAGUUAGUCUCAAAACAACCACAAUGUAUUUGGUAUUUAGUACAGUUUUGGAAAAGAAGUUUAUCCCACAAAAUAUCAAGUGAUCUUGAACUAAAAGUCCAGACUAUGUUCUUCCAUGUGACAUCAAGUAAACAGCUUCUAAUGAUUUCUUGCUAAGGGCUAGAAUAUCCAUCAGCAGGUUGCCCUGAAGAAACCACCUUUCCAGCUGCAUUGAGCCAGAACUGCACCAACUUCUCUAACCUGUGAGAGGAGACACCUCUGCAGUCCUGAACGCUGUACAAAUCACGCUAAUAAUCACUAAGAAGUCUUCAAGAACAGAGACUCUACUGAAUUCAUAUUGAGACUUGCCGUCACUAUCAGAACAAUGCUAUAUAUGACAGAGACCCCUGGUUGCUUUUGAUAAAUGAAAUCAGUGAACGGGAAAAAGGUAAGCAACAUAGUGACAGAGUCCAAAUAGUGGAAUCCCAAUUCUAGGUACUACAUGCAGAGUAGACUUUUGGUCUCAUUUUUACAUGAUUCUAGAAAGUAAGAUUUUAGUCCAGUAGACAGUAUACUUUAUUAAGCACUAAAAUCUGUAUGACAAAAAAUAACAGAGAGCAUAUAUAUGAUUUUUAACUAUGUCUAGCUGUGCAUUUUAAGGAUUUGUACCAUGUGUGUGACAUUUCUAAUUUUAUAAAACCUUUUGACAUGUGAUUUAAUGUUCUGUAAAGGAAAACACUGAAUGAAUAAGAGGCUGUGUUCUUCCAG
Molecule: long non-coding RNA, 921 nt
Organism: Herpailurus yagouaroundi (jaguarundi)
Lineage: Eukaryota; Metazoa; Chordata; Mammalia; Carnivora; Felidae
Exons: 4
Source: RefSeq, a predicted model, not a curated record